GAAAUUUAGUUUCUAGAUUUAUAUUUGGGUGGCUGUUGUGUGCAGCCUAGUCCAAGUGCUGCUAUGUGGGUGUAGUUUUGGUAGGUAUGUGUUAAUGCUACUGCAGGCAGCUGCAUAUUAAUGUGGCUAUAUUGUUGUGAAUAAAAUAAGCUGGAGGGUGGCACCUUCUUGGUUCCACGUAUUCUUACACCACAAUGCAAUUUCACACAUAACUUCUGCUUCUGCAAGGUGACUUGCAGGCAGAAUAGUCUCACUACCAUAAAAGGUUAUAAUGUAAGUGCCAAAGAGUAGUAAUUGACCAACAAGCCAGAUAGCCCCUUCAGUCACGAAUUAGACUAGCAUGGAUUACUUGUGCAAGUUAAUUAUUGGUUGCAAGCAUUACUAGAAAGAAAAAAAAAUUCCGCAAUUGCUGCAAGAACGCCCCCUGUUACACCACCCGUCAAACACUAGUGCCUUCUCCAAAGCGAUCUUCGGUAGCGAUAGAUUUUCCUCAGUACAACGGAGGUACUUGAGGUAAAAAGAACGUUCAAUUUACCUUAAGCGUAAUUUUAUGAUCUAUUCCUUGCCACAACUGCACAGAUAUGGCAAAAAUAGGUCGUGUCUACAAAUGUGUACAGUGACUGAAGGGGAUACGUUGCAUGCCCUUAACAGAGGUGUAGUGCCACCUGCAUCCUGCACUUUUAUAAACAGCUUACUGCAUUGCCUAUGUAUGUGUGCAUGCAUGUAUGUUUAUAUGCUUGCAUUCAUGGCUGUAGGAAACUGAAGUUGGGUAGUGUAUUUCCUGAGUUCCUUUAAAAUGUAACUUUUUGUCUGACAUGAAUCUGUUUUUUUUUUGCUUGGACAGAGUGGUUUGCAGGUUGGCCUAUGUUGAGUCAGGGGCUGAUAACCAAUUAUCAUUUCUUUCAACCAUUUAUAAUAUACCUAAGAAACAAUGAUUGCAUUAAUUGGCUUUUUGAAGAUUCUUUACAACUUUAGUGCUUUCCUGAGAUGUUUUCAUGCUGUACUGAUAAUACAAACAUUAUAUUGAUACAUCUCUUCUGAAUAGGUACCCUUCUAAGGAGCUUUACUGCACUGCUGUGGAGCAACUAAUUCAAAAAUAUCCGCACUUGCGUGACAACGUGAAGAUAGGCAGUGGCAUGGAAUCGUGGAAAGUUGCCCUCAAGAAUAAGUUUAAGAACAACAGAAAGAAGGCAGUGAAUGUGUCCACGGAAAUGCAAGCGGUUCGGGCCCAGAGCUACCGCAAGAGUCCCAGGGAGCCAGUGGUGGAGGUGGCGAACAAGAAGCUAUGCCGCCUCUCUGUUAGUGUUUGUUAAUUAUUUCUGUUUUGUUUUGCAUGCCCCUCUGAAAAAUGCAGGUAAAGUGUUGUCAGUGGUGCACAUCUUUCGGCUGUUUUUUGUUUCACUGAUAUUUUUCUUUUAACUAUCAAAGUUUCGUCACUGAGGUGCUGGUUUUACAUAUUGCAGGACAACAAUGACCUCAUCAUUUAUGGGGAGACCCUGGAGUCGCGACAUAAACAUAACGAGUGGCUGCAGCAACAUUUUGCAACUGCUGAUCCAGAAGAUUUGCGGCCACGUCUUCUUGCAACAGCCAAGGAACGGCACGAGUGUCUUCGCCGAAUCACGUUGUCGGAGGCGCUCCUGCAGUAUCCUUUCCUAGCAACAGAACACUCGCUGCUGAUGGAGUUCAAUAUAUUGUUCAAAAGAACAAUACUCGACAGUAUUGAGCGUGGCUGCAGCCGUCUGUGCAGCAUCAUUCUCGACCACGCGGAGCAGGACGAGGUUGUUCAAUUCUCUGCCAUGGCUUCUGAGGAUGGUGUGCUUGGUGUCCUCAACUUCAUUGCAGGCCGCUGCAAUGAAUCACUUGAUGCUAUCUUAACAGAAACAGCUGCGGUCCCACUAACUCCAUGCCUCCAGAGGGCAUCUGAUGGCUCCCUCGCGCUACACAUCGAUGCGCAGCGAUUGUUUGUGACGUCAUCACUGCUAGCAGGCCUGGCCUGCCUUUUCGCUUCUUUCUGGGUAUUCCACAUUGUAUACCCAAAAAAGGCCCACAGGAUUUUAACAUUCAUUGAGCACUGCUUUCUAGAUUUGUGCUACACAAAGCCACGGGUGAAAGCAUUAGAGUUAGUAAAUUUUUACAAGAACUAUUGCUAGGCAAAAAAAU
Molecule: long non-coding RNA, 2160 nt
Organism: Dermacentor andersoni
Lineage: Eukaryota; Metazoa; Arthropoda; Arachnida; Ixodida; Ixodidae
Source: RefSeq, a predicted model, not a curated record